RNAcentral lists this ribosomal RNA (408 nucleotides) under uncultured bacterium. RNAcentral describes it as "partial 16S ribosomal RNA". It matches the Rfam family "Bacterial small subunit ribosomal RNA", at positions 30 to 526 of the family's 1533-position model. The record is from RNAcentral.
AUUGAACGCUGGCGGCGUGCCUAAUACAUGCAAGUCGAACGGAGUGGCUCACGGGUGAGUAAUGUAUAGCUAAUCUGCCCUACACUAGAGGACAACAGCUGGAAACGACUGCUAAUACUCUAUAGUGUAGGAUGAGGCUAUAUUGUAUCAGCUAGCUGGUGAGGUAAUGGCUCACCAAGGCUAUGACGCAUAACUGGUGUGAGAGGAUGAUCAGUCACACUGGAACGGAGACACGGUCCAGACUCCUUCGGGAAGCAGCAGUAGGGUAUAUUGCUCAAUGGGGGAAAACCUGAAGCAGCAACGCCGCGUGGAGUAUUACACUUUUCGGAGAGUAAACUCCUUUUGAUAGGGAAGCGGUACCUAACGAAUAAGCACCGGCUAACUCCGUGCCAGCCGCCGCGGUAAUUC